GUAGGUGGCAAGCGUUGUCCGGAAUUAUUGGGCGUAAAGCGCGCGCAGGCGGUUCUUUAAGUCUGAUGUGAAAGCCCACGGCUCAACCGUGGAGGGUCAUUGGAAACUGGAGAACUUGAGUACAGAAGAGGAAAGCGGAAUUCCACGUGUAGCGGUGAAAUGCGUAGAGAUGUGGAGGAACACCAGUGGCGAAGGCGGCUUUUCUGGUCUGUAACUGACGCUGAGGCGCGAAAGCGUGGGGAGCAAGCAGGAUUAGAUACCCUGGUAGUCCACGCCGUAAACGAUGAGUGCUAAGUGUUAGGGGGUUUCCGCCCCCCUUAGUGCUGCAGCUAACGCAUUAAGCACUCCGCCCUGGGAGUACGGCCGCAAGGCUG
RNAcentral lists this ribosomal RNA (374 nucleotides) under uncultured organism. RNAcentral describes it as "partial 16S ribosomal RNA". It matches the Rfam family "Bacterial small subunit ribosomal RNA", at positions 527 to 896 of the family's 1533-position model. The record is from RNAcentral.